CAAUCGGCCCUUUUCAGGGCCACCAAACAUACUGUAAUUAUUGUGU
Non-coding RNA from Trachymyrmex cornetzi, 46 nucleotides. The record is from Rfam. NCBI's taxonomy places the organism in Eukaryota, Metazoa, Arthropoda, Insecta, Hymenoptera, Formicidae.